Molecule: ribosomal RNA, 433 nt
Filed under: uncultured bacterium
Lineage: Bacteria
Description: partial 16S ribosomal RNA
Rfam family: Bacterial small subunit ribosomal RNA
Source: RNAcentral
AGCGAACGCUGGCGGAAGGCCUAACACAUGCAAGUCGAACGAACUCUUCGGAGUUAGUGGCGGACGGGUGAGUAACACGUGGGAACGUGCCUUUUGGUUCGGAAUAACUCAGGGAAACUUGUGCUAAUACCGAAUGUGCCCUUCGGGGGAAAGAUUUAUCGCCAUUAGAGCGGCCCGCGUCUGAUUAGCUAGUUGGUGAGGUAACGGCUCACCAAGGCGACGAUCAGUAGCUGGUCUGAGAGGAUGACCAGCCACACUGGGACUGAGACACGGCCCAGACUCCUACGGGAAGCAGCAGUGGGGAAUCUUGCGCAAUGGGCGAAAGCCUGACGCAGCCAUGCCGCGUGAAUGAUGAAGGUCUUAGGAUUGUAAAAUUCUUUCACCGGGGACGAUAAUGACGGUACCCGGAGAAGAAGCCCCGGCUAACUUCGUG